GAUGAACGCUGGCGGCGUGCUUAACACAUGCAAGUCGAACGGAAAGGCCCAAGCUUGCUUGGGUACUCGAGUGGCGAACGGGUGAGUAACACGUGGGUGAUCUGCCCUGCACUUCGGGAUAAGCCUGGGAAACUGGGUCUAAUACAGGAUAGGACGAUGGUUUGGAUGCCAUUGUGGAAAGUUUUUUCGGUGUGGGAUGAGCUCGCGGCCUAUCAGCUUGUUGGUGGGGUAAUGGCCUACCAAGGCGUCGACGGGUAGCCGGCCUGAGAGGGUGUACGGCCACAUUGGGACUGAGAUACGGCCCAGACUGCUACGGGAGGCAGCAGUGGGGAAUAUUGCACAAUGGGCGCAAGCCUGAUGCAGCGACGCCGCGUGGGGGAUGACGGCCUUCGGGUUGUAAACUCCUUUCGCUAGGGACGAAGCGUUUUUGUGACGGUACCUGGAGAAGAAGCACCGGCUAACUACGUG
This 468-nucleotide ribosomal RNA is filed under the name uncultured bacterium. RNAcentral's name for it is "partial 16S ribosomal RNA". It matches the Rfam family "Bacterial small subunit ribosomal RNA", at positions 28 to 507 of the family's 1533-position model. The record is from RNAcentral.